UGGAAGACUUGUACAUGUUAAUAAGAUUUGCAAAAAGAUGAAAUCAUUAAAAAGUAAAAAGAAAUGAAUGAUGGAGGAAAAAAGGAUAAGAAAAUCAAGGACCAAUUGGGCAUGGUGAAAAAUGCUUAUAAUUCCAGCACUCCAAGGCCAAAGCAGGAGGAUCCCAAGUCCAAGUUUGAGGAAAAGCAGCUGGACAAAGAGUGAGACCCUCAAGAAAAGAAGGGGGGAGGAAAGAAGGGAAGAAAGGAAAGAAGAAAAUUAAGGAUCUAUCUAGUCUAACAUCAAACAGGAGUUGCAGAAAGAAUAGGAAUAAUAGGAUAUUAUUCAAGAAAUUAAAAGAAGGAUUUAGCUCAGUGGUGCCAUGCCUACCUUGCACAAGGUCCUGGGUUCAAUCCCCAUAACUGAAAAAAAAAAUUUUUUUAAGAGGGGGAGCUGGGGAUGUAGCUCAGUGUGAAGGCCCUAGGUCCAAUCCUUAGUACCACAAAAGAAAAGACAAAAAGAAUGCUUCAGGGGAAAAUGGAAGUGAUGAAUUACCUAAUAGAGGCAACGAAGUGAAUAAAGUAUGUACUGAGAAACUUUAUGUGGGAAGAAUUAAUGAUAGGUAUAUUUUGAAGAACAAAGCAAAAGAGCAAAGUAAUGAUUAAUGCUAGGAGAAACAAAAAGUUGGAAACAAUCAUGAAACACUAGUGGGUUAGCAAUGUACAUUUACAGUACUCGGCCAGGGAUUUAGCUCAGUGGUUCUGCCGCCUGCUUCACAAGUGCAAGGACCCGAGUUUGAUCCCCGGCACCAAAAAAACAAAAAUACAUUUACAGUACUCAUAGUGAAAAUAAUGGCACCUGGAGGUUGUGGUGCAGGCCUGUAGUCCUAGCACUCAGGAGGCUGAGGCAGGAGGAUUGCCACGAGUUCAAGGCCAGCUUGGAUGAGAUAGUGAGAUCCCAUCUCAAAAAACAAUGCAAGCUGAUGUGGUGUAUGCCUGUGAUCCCAGCAUUCAAGAGGCUGAGGCAGGAGGAUCAACAGUUUAAGUCCAGCCUGGGGAAUUCAGUAACUUGUUACUAUUAUUUGAUGUUAGACUUUAGAUAGAUCCUUAAUUUUUUCUUUCCUUUUUUCCUUCUUCCUUUUCUCCACCUUUUCUUAGGGUCUCACUCUGUUGUCCCGCUGGCUGUCUCAAAAUCUAAAACAAAGGGGCUGGGGAUUUAGCUCAGUGGUUUCGCCGCCUGCUGUGCAAGUGCAAGGAGGAGAGUUCGAUUCCCGGUAGCCAGUUUAUUUCUGCUCCGAGCCUUUCCAUUCAGCUGUGCCCUCUGCCUGGAAUACUCUUUCCCAGAAGAGGUCUUUUCUUCCCGCCCCUAUCACAUCACUUCAUUCUCCCUCACCUGUGUCACUCUGAGGUUACCUGGUUACAAGCCUGUGUGCGUUCUUCCAGUGGAGUGGAGGUCCUGAGAGCAGCCCCGUCUGUCUUGCGCCUGCUGUCUCAUGCAGGAUGCCUUGUACUUAGUAGGUACUGAAUAUUUAUUA
RNAcentral lists this long non-coding RNA (1513 nucleotides) under Heterocephalus glaber (naked mole-rat). RNAcentral's name for it is "lncRNA (ENSHGLG00000042574.1)". Lineage: Eukaryota; Metazoa; Chordata; Mammalia; Rodentia; Bathyergidae. The record is from RNAcentral.